CAGUAGUCAUAUGCUUGUCUCAAAGAUUAAGCCAUGCAUGUCUAAGUACAUGCCGUAUUAAGGCGAAACCGCGAAUGGCUCAUUAAAUCAGUUAUGGUUCCUUGGAUCGUACCUUACUACUUGGAUAACUGUGGCAAUUCUAGAGCUAAUACAUGCAGCAGAGCUCCGACCUUCGGGGACGAGCGCUUUUAUUAGACCAAAACCAAUCGGGCCUCGUGUCCGUUCUACGUGGUGACUCUGUAUAACUUUGGGCUGAUCGCACGGGCUCGUCCCGGCGACGUAUCUUUCAAGUGUCUGCCUUAUCAACUGUCGAUGGUAGGUUACGCGCCUACCAUGGUCGUAACGGGUAACGGGGAAUCAGGGUUCGAUUCCGGAGAGGGAGCCUGAGAAACGGCUACCACAUCCAAGGAAGGCAGCAGGCGCGCAAAUUACCCACUCCCGGCUCGGGGAGGUAGUGACGAAAAAUAACAAUACGGGACUCUUUUGAGACCCCGUAAUUGGAAUGAGUACACUCUAAAUCCUUUAACGAGGAUCCAUUGGAGGGAAAGUCUGGUGCCAGCCGCCGCGGUAACUCCAGCUCCAAUAGCGUAUAUUAAAGUUGUUGCGGUUAAAAAGCUCGUAGUUGGAUCUCAGUUCCAGACGGGUGGUCCGCCUACCGGUGGUCACUGCCUGUUCUGAGCAUUGCCGCCGAAAUUGUCCGAUGAUCUUUACCGGUUGUCGUUCGGUUUCGGCAAUUUUACUUUGAAAAAAUUAGAGUGCUCAAAGCAUGCGUGACGCAUGAAUAAUGGUGCAUGGAAUAAUGGAAUAGGACCUCGGUUCUAUUUUGUUGGUUUUCGGAACACGAGGUAAUGAUUAAGAGGGACAGACGGGGGCAUUCGUAUUGCGACGCUAGAGGUGAAAUUCUUGGACCGUCGCAAGACGACUACUGCAGA
This 932-nucleotide ribosomal RNA is filed under the name Parasteatoda tabulata. RNAcentral's name for it is "SSU rRNA". It matches the Rfam family "Eukaryotic small subunit ribosomal RNA", at positions 18 to 949 of the family's 1831-position model. The record is from RNAcentral. Lineage: Eukaryota; Metazoa; Arthropoda; Arachnida; Araneae; Theridiidae.